CCUACGGGAGGCAGCAGUGGGGAAUAUUGCACAAUGGGGGAAACCCUGAUGCAGCGACGCCGCGUGAGUGAAGAAGUAUUUCGGUACGUAAAGCUCUAUCAGCAGGGAAGAAAAUGACGGUACCUGACUAAGAAGCCCCGGCUAACUACGUGCCAGCAGCCGCGGUAAUACGUAGGGGGCAAGCGUUAUCCGGAUUUACUGGGUGUAAAGGGAGCGUAGACGGCAGCGCAAGUCUGGAGUGAAAUCCCAUGGCUUAACCAUGGGACUGCUUUGGAAACUGUGCAGCUAGAGUGCAGGAGAGGUAAGCGGAAUUCCUAGUGUAGCGGUGAAAUGCGUAGAUAUUAGGAGGAACACCAGUGGCGAAGGCGGCUUACUGGACUGUAACUGACGUUGAGGCUCGAAAGCGUGGGGAGCAAACAGGAUUAGAUACCCUAGUAGUC
This 440-nucleotide ribosomal RNA is filed under the name uncultured bacterium. RNAcentral describes it as "partial 16S ribosomal RNA". It matches the Rfam family "Bacterial small subunit ribosomal RNA", at positions 338 to 795 of the family's 1533-position model. The record is from RNAcentral.